Molecule: ribosomal RNA, 1286 nt
Filed under: uncultured bacterium
Lineage: Bacteria
Description: bacterial SSU rRNA
Rfam family: Bacterial small subunit ribosomal RNA
Source: RNAcentral
GGCAGCGGGGAGGAAGCUUGCUUUCUCCGCCGGCGACCGGCGCACGGGUGAGUAACACGUAUGCAACCUGCCCCUGUCAGGGGGACAACCCGCCGAAAGGCGGGCUAAACCCGCGUACAUGCCACCGGGGCAUCCCGGAGGCAGGAAAGGCUUCGGCCGGACAGGGAUGGGCAUGCGGCGCAUUAGGCAGUAGGCGGGGUAACGGCCCACCUAACCGACGAUGCGUAGGGGUUCUGAGAGGAAGGUCCCCCACACUGGUACUGAGACACGGACCAGACUCCUACGGGAGGCAGCAGUGAGGAAUAUUGGUCAAUGGUCGGGAGACUGAACCAGCCAAGCCGCGUGAGGGAGGAAGGUACAGAGUAUCGUAAACCUCUUUUGUCAGGGAACAAAGGCGGGGACGUGUCCCCGGAUGAGUGUACCUGAAGAAAAAGCAUCGGCUAACUCCGUGCCAGCAGCCGCGGUAAUACGGAGGAUGCGAGCGUUAUCCGGAUUUAUUGGGUUUAAAGGGUGCGCAGGCGGUCUGUUAAGUCAGCGGUCAAAGCCCGGGGCUCAACCCCGGCCCGCCGUUGAAACUGGCAGUCUCGAGUUGGAGAGAAGUAUGCGGAAUGCGCGGUGUAGCGGUGAAAUGCAUAGAUAUCGCGCAGAACUCCGAUUGCGAAGGCAGCAUGCCGGCUCCACACUGACGCUGAGGCACGAAAGCGUGGGUAUCGAACAGGAUUAGAUACCCUGGUAGUCCACGCAGUAAACGAUGAAUGCUGGCUGUCCGGGGGGACUGACCCCUGGGUGGCGAAGCGAAAGCGAUAAGCAUUCCACCUGGGGAGUACGCCGGCAACGGUGAAACUCAAAGGAAUUGACGGGGGCCCGCACAAGCGGAGGAACAUGUGGUUUAAUUCGAUGAUACGCGAGGAACCUUACCCGGGCUCAAACGGGGAGUGGCGCAGGCAGAGACGCCUGUUUCCCACGGGACACUCCCCGAGGUGCUGCAUGGUUGUCGUCAGCUCGUGCCGUGAGGUGUCGGCUUAAGUGCCAUAACGAGCGCAACCCCCGCGUGCAGUUGCUAACAGUCAACGCUGAGGACUCUGCACGGACUGCCGGCGCAAGCCGCGAGGAAGGCGGGGAUGACGUCAAAUCAGCACGGCCCUUACGUCCGGGGCGACACACGUGUUACAAUGGGUGGUACAGCGGGAAGCCAGGCGGCGACGCCGAGCGGAACCCGAAAUCCACUCUCAGUUCGGAUCGGAGUCUGCAACCCGACUCCGUGAAGCUGGAUUCGCUAGUAAUCG